Molecule: ribosomal RNA, 497 nt
Filed under: uncultured bacterium
Lineage: Bacteria
Description: partial 16S ribosomal RNA
Rfam family: Bacterial small subunit ribosomal RNA
Source: RNAcentral
GAUGAACGCUGGCGGCGUGCCUAAUACAUGCAAGUCGAGCGAACAGACGAGGAGCUUGCUCCUCUGACGUUAGCGGCGGACGGGUGAGUAACACGUGGAUAACCUACCUAUAAGACUGGGAUAACUUCGGGAAACCGGAGCUAAUACCGGAUAAUAUAUUGAACCGCAUGGUUCAAUAGUGAAAGACGGUUUUGCUGUCACUUAUAGAUGGAUCCGCGCCGCAUUAGCUAGUUGGUAAGGUAACGGCUUACCAAGGCAACGAUGCGUAGCCGACCUGAGAGGGUGAUCGGCCACACUGGAACUGAGACACGGUCCAGACUCCUACGGGAGGCAGCAGUAGGGAAUCUUCCGCAAUGGGCGAAAGCCUGACGGAGCAACGCCGCGUGAGUGAGGAAGGUCUUCGGAUCGUAAAACUCUGUUAGUAGGGAAGAACAAAUGUGUAAGUAACUAUGCACGUCUUGACGGUACCUAAACAGAAAGCAACGGCUAACUACGUG